AAAUUUGGUUUGGUUACUGGGAAAUUUUCCUAACUUUUUUAUAUAAUAUUUAAAAAAUGUAAAUAGAAAAUUUAAUUUAUUUAAUAAUUAAAAAUUAUUGAGAGUUAGAAAUAAAUUCUAGCUAAAUUUGUGCCAGCAGCAGCGGUUAAACAAAUAGAAAUUUUCCCCUUUUAAUUUAAUUUAAAAAAAAAAUUAUAUAAAAUGUUAUUAAAAUUAAAGGUGAAAUUUAAUUUUAAUUUUUAAUUAGAUAAAAUUGGAAUUUUGAUUUUAAACUAGGAUUAGAUACCCUAUUAUUAUGAAGCUAAACAUUGUAAGUAAAUAUUAAUUAUAAAAGCAAAAAAUUAUGGCGGUAUCUUAAGCUUUUCAGAGGAAUUUGCUCUGUAAUGGAUAAAACACCUAAAUCUUACUUUAAUUAGUAAAAUCAAUUUGUAUACCACUAUUAAAAUAAUAAUAUACAAUUAUUAUUAGAAUAUAAUUUAUAUAAUAAAUUAAGUCAAGGUGCAGUAAAAAUUAAAGAAUGAAGUGAAUUACAUUUCUUUUUAGAAAAAAAAAUGAAAAAUUAUUUUGGAUUUGAAAGUAAAAUUGAAAUAGUAUGUUAAUUUGAAUUUAGCUCUAAGAUAUGUACAUAUCGCCCGUCACUCUUUUUAAGAUAAGUCGUAACAAAGUUAAAAUACUGGAAAGUGUUUU
RNAcentral lists this non-coding RNA (687 nucleotides) under Dermacentor variabilis (American dog tick). Lineage: Eukaryota; Metazoa; Arthropoda; Arachnida; Ixodida; Ixodidae. The record is from RNAcentral.